This is a long non-coding RNA of Rhipicephalus sanguineus (brown dog tick), 206 nucleotides long. RefSeq lists it as uncharacterized. The record is from RefSeq and is a predicted model, not a curated record. The transcript has 3 exons. NCBI's taxonomy places the organism in Eukaryota, Metazoa, Arthropoda, Arachnida, Ixodida, Ixodidae.
AGGCAGCUGGUAAUGCUUUUAAGGCCACUGCUCGUGACUGGGUGAAUACUGUGGCGCCGCAUCGCCAAACACGGGGUGUUUCAGUGAUAGUCAUUCGAGCGUGGAACCAUGAAAAGUGAAAGGGAACUCCGCAUUCGGUAUCAGCGUUCUAACACCGCAUUCUCGGUGCCAAUCUCUCUGAAAGCUAAGUAAGAGAUCAAAAACAG